Molecule: ribosomal RNA, 424 nt
Filed under: uncultured bacterium
Lineage: Bacteria
Description: bacterial SSU rRNA
Rfam family: Bacterial small subunit ribosomal RNA
Source: RNAcentral
AUUGAACGCUGGCGGAAUGCUUUACACAUGCAAGUCGAGCGGCAGCACGGGGGCAACCCUGGUGGCGAGCGGCGAACGGGUGAGUAAUACAUCGGAACAUGCCCAGUCGUGGGGGAUAACACUUCGAAAGAAGUGCUAAUACCGCAUACGUCCUGAGGGAGAAAGCGGGGGAUCGCAAGACCUCGCGCGAUUGGAGUGGCCGAUGUCAGAUUAGCUAGUUGGUGGGGUAAAGGCCUACCAAGGCAACGAUCUGUAGCUGGUCUGAGAGGAUGAUCAGCCACACUGGGACUGAGACACGGCCCAGACUCCUACGGGAGGCAGCAGUGGGGAAUUUUGGACAAUGGGGGCAACCCUGAUCCAGCCAUUCCGCGUGAGUGAAGAAGGCCUCGGGUUGUAAGACUCUUUCUAGCAGGAACGAAACAGU